RNAcentral lists this ribosomal RNA (440 nucleotides) under uncultured bacterium. RNAcentral's name for it is "partial 16S ribosomal RNA". It matches the Rfam family "Bacterial small subunit ribosomal RNA", at positions 338 to 795 of the family's 1533-position model. The record is from RNAcentral.
CCUACGGGAGGCAGCAGUGGGGAAUAUUGCACAAUGGGGGAAACCCUGAUCCAGCGACGCCGCGUGAAUGAAGAAGUACUUCGGUAUGUAAAGCUCUUUUCGCAGGGGAGAAAAUGACGGUACCCGCUUAAGAAGCCGCGGCUAACUACGUGCCAACAGCCGCGGUAAUACGUCGGGGGCCAGCGGUAUCCGGAUUUACUGGGUGUAAAGGGGGCGUAGUUGGGAGUACAAGUCAGGAGUGAAAUGCCGGGGCUUAACCCCGGAACUGCUGUGGAAACUGUGCAGCUAGAGUGCAGGAGAGGUAAGUGGAAUGCCUAGUGUAGCGGUGAAAUGCGUAGAUAUUAGGAGGAACACCAGUGGCGAAGGCGGCUUACUGGACUGUAACUGACGUUGAGGCUCGAAAGCGUGGGGAGCGAACAGGAUUAGAUACCCGGGUAGUC